GAUGAACGCUGGCGGCGUGCCUAAUACAUGCAAGUCGAGCGAACAGAUGAGGAGCUUGCUCCUCUGACGUUAGCGGCGGACGGGUGAGUAACACGUGGAUAACCUACCUAUAAGACUGGGAUAACUUCGGGAAACCGGAGCUAAUACCGGAUAAUAUAUUGAACCGCAUGGUUCAAUAGUGAAAGACGGUUUUGCUGUCACUUAUAGAUGGAUCCGCGCCGCAUUAGCUAGUUGGUAAGGUAACGGCUUACCAAGGCGACGAUGCGUAGCCGACCUGAGAGGGUGAUCGGCCACACUGGGACUGAGACACGGUCCAGACUCCUACGGGAGGCAGCAGUAGGGAAUCUUCCGCAAUGGGCGAAAGCCUGACGGAGCAACGCCGCGUGAGUGAUGAAGGUCUUCGGAUCGUAAAACUCUGUUAUUAGGGAAGAACAAAUGUGUAAGUAACUAUGCACGUCUUGACGGUACCUAAUCAGAAAGCCACGGCUAACUACGUG
RNAcentral lists this ribosomal RNA (497 nucleotides) under uncultured bacterium. RNAcentral's name for it is "partial 16S ribosomal RNA". It matches the Rfam family "Bacterial small subunit ribosomal RNA", at positions 28 to 507 of the family's 1533-position model. The record is from RNAcentral.